AGUGAACGCUGGCGGUAGGCCUAACACAUGCAAGUCGAACGGCAGCACAGUAAGAGCUUGCUCUUACGGGUGGCGAGUGGCGGACGGGUGAGGAAUACAUCGGAAUCUACUUUUUCGUAGGGGAUAACGUAGGGAAACUUACGCUAAUACCGCAUACGACCUACGGGUGAAAGCAGGGGAUCUUCGGACCUUGCGCGAUUGAAUGAGCCGAUGUCGGAUUAGCUAGUUGGCGGGGUAAAGGCCCACCAAGGCGACGAUCCGUAGCUGGUCUGAGAGGAUGACCAGCCACACUGGAACUGAGACACGGUCCAGACUCCUACGGGAGGCAGCAGUGGGGAAUAUUGGACAAUGGGCGCAAGCCUGAUCCAGCCAUACCGCGUGGGUGAAGAAGGCCUUCGGGUUGUAAAGCCCUUUUGUUGGGAAAGAAAAGCAGCAGGUUAAUACCCCGCUGUUCUGACGGUACCCAAAGAAUAAGCACCGGCUAACUUCGUG
This 492-nucleotide ribosomal RNA is filed under the name uncultured bacterium. Its description in RNAcentral is "partial 16S ribosomal RNA". It matches the Rfam family "Bacterial small subunit ribosomal RNA", at positions 29 to 507 of the family's 1533-position model. The record is from RNAcentral.